This 774-nucleotide ribosomal RNA is filed under the name uncultured Neocallimastigales. RNAcentral describes it as "partial large subunit ribosomal RNA". It matches the Rfam family "Eukaryotic large subunit ribosomal RNA", at positions 23 to 616 of the family's 3401-position model. The record is from RNAcentral. Lineage: Eukaryota; Fungi; Neocallimastigomycota; Neocallimastigomycetes; Neocallimastigales.
AGAGAGAGACAUGCGCGCAUAUCAAUAAGCGGAGGAAAAGAAACUAACAAGGAUUCCCCUAGUAACGGCGAGUGAAGCGGGAAGAGCUCAAAUUUGAAAUCUUAAAGGGUUUCCCUUUACGAAUUGUAGUUUAAAGAAGUGUUUUCUGUUGAGGUUUUGGUAAAAGUUCUUUGGAAUAGGACAUCAUAGAGGGUGAGAAUCCCGUAUUUGACCUUUACUUUCAACUUUGUGAUACACUUUCAAGGAGUCGGAUUGUUUGGGAAUGCAGUCCAAAAUGGGUGGUAAAUUUCAUCUAAAGCUAAAUAUUGGCGAGAGACCGAUAGCGAACAAGUACCGUGAGGGAUAGAUGAAAAGAACUUUGAAAAGAGAGUUAAACAGUACGUGAAAUUGUCAAAAGGGAAGCGUUUGACACCAGUGUUGUUUUUCUGAAAAUCAAUUAAAGAACUGUUUAUGCUAAGCUGUUUAGACUUUAUCAGCUAUCUGUUUAGUUUUGAGCUUUUCUUUAAUGCACUUUUCAGUUAACAAGUCAACAUCAAUUUCUUUUGCUGUAAAAAAGCUUGAGGAAGGUGGCUUGAGAUUCGUCUUAAGUGUUUAUAGCCUCUUGCCUAUGCAGUCGGAGAGAUUGAGGUCUGCAGCGUAGAUCCUUCGGGGCUAAAUGCAUUUGUGCUAAGUUAUAGCAUUUUAUAGACAACUUGUUGACUAUGAUUUGUCUUGUAGCUUACUCGCUUAUGUUAUUUUACCUACGCUUAGGAUGUUGAGCGCAUGUCUCUCUCU